CCUACGGGUGGCAGCAGUGAGGAAUAUUGGUCAAUGGACGUGAGCCUGAACCAGCCAAGUCGCGUGAAGGAUGAAUGCUCUAUGGAUUGUAAACCUCUUUUAUAUGGGAAUAAAAUGCUCCACGUGUGCCGUUUUGUAUGUACCUUAUGAAUAAGGAUCGGCUAACUCCGUGCCAGCAGCCGCGGUAAUACGGAGGAUCCGAGCGUUAUCCGGAUUUAUUGGGUUUAAAGGGGGCGUAGGUGGAUUGUUAAGUCAGUUGUGAAAGUUUGUGGCUCAACCGUAAAAUUGCAGUUGAAACUGGCAGUCUUGAGUACGGUAGAGGUGGGCGGAAUUCGUGGUGUAGCGGUGAAAUGCUUAGAUAUCACGAAGAACUCCGAUUGCGAAGGCAGCUCACUGGACUGCAACUGACACUGAGGCUCGAAAGUGUGGGUAUCAAACAGGAUUAGAGACCCCAGUAGUC
RNAcentral lists this ribosomal RNA (460 nucleotides) under uncultured bacterium. RNAcentral describes it as "partial 16S ribosomal RNA". It matches the Rfam family "Bacterial small subunit ribosomal RNA", at positions 338 to 795 of the family's 1533-position model. The record is from RNAcentral.